ACUUAUUCACUUAGGUUAAUUUGCAAAUGAAAAAAUUCCCACCCUUCCCAAUUUUCAUUCCCCGCCUUUGUUUCUCUCACAAGUCAGAGCUUACUUCCUUCUCGCUGCUUGUUGCCCCCAACACCGCCCACCCGCGUUUCUCCCCCACUGCCCCAACACCGCCCACCGUGUUUCUCCCCCAACACGGCCCACCUGCAAAGCACCACCGUGUCGUGGCUUCCAUAUCUCCCCAACCCGCGUUUGUCCCCCGCUGCGCGACUGAAGCCGUGUCUCUUACUGCUGGAAGCCGCCCCAUGUUUCUCCGACUCGCUUACUGCUGGAAGCCUCCCCGCAACCGGCAACCGCCUCAUCUCCUCUCCUCUACUACGCGCACUGCCGCCGUCGAUUGGUCUCCUCUCGCUGCCCACCACUAGGGCGUAUUAAAGCUUGCAGAAAGGCUACCUUAGUGAUUAUAAGCUUGUAAAGGGAGUUCAAGUUACAUAUGAGUUGAAUCGGUAAAUGCGGAACUGUGUCGAGAGGAUGUACUUGAACAUUAGUGAGUAUUCCUUUUUUGUAACCAGUAGUGUAAUUUUUUAAUUGAAGAUGUUUAGAUAAUCUUCCUAUAUUGAUCAAUAUGAGUUAGGUGAAUGAAAGGUUAUACCUAAUUGGCAGCAAAUUGCAAAUAUAAGGUCCUCAUAAAGUUGAGUAAGUUCAUAAAAUUGCAAAUUCAUUGUUUUUGUCCACCGGAAAGUUGAGUUCCUCCUUGUCCCACCUCAAGUCAUUAACAUCCAUAGUGUUAACUGUGCUUCAGAUUGUAUAUUGUUGAAAGUUCAGAGUUUGUAGCCUUUUUUUGUUACUUUCAGUUGGCAGUAACUUCACUGUAUACUUCACUACAUACUCCUUGAUACCUUGCUAGUAGCUGAUGUUUGUGCCGAAGUAACUUCACUGCAUACUCCUUGACACCUUGCUGGUAGCUAAUGUUUGUGCCUAAGUAAUGUGCAUUGUCAUCAUUCAGAGUGUAGUUGGGGGAAUCAGAGAAAAGGUGCAUGAUUUUGAUUUGAAAGAAGAUACAUACAUCAAGGAUGGAUGUUGAAAACUGUAUGACUGACCUGAGAAUGGUCUCAUGUCCUACCCAAAGCAUCACUUAUUGGGGUAACAUUGCUCCAAACAUUAGAUUAUAUUUCUAUUAUUCCCUCUCACUCUCUCAAGUACAAUUCCUCCAAACUCAUUCUUUCUUUCCAUAAGCAUCAUAUUAUAACUCUCCUGCAUAGUAUAUCACUCUUCUUCUGUUGAAUACGUCAGACGUAGGGGUUACCACUCCUUGGAACCACUUCAUAGCUGACAGCACAACAGAUGUCCUGUGGCCUAGGAGUUAUCGCGUGAAGUUGCAACUAGGUGAACAAUAACCAGAGUAAUCAAAGCUUGAUCUGAAUCUACGGCUCUUAUUGACUUUCAAGUAACCUUCCUGCUUCACAACCCAUGUUAUUAAUCAAGCAUCAAGUGGACAACUUCAAGUGAACCAAGCCUCUGCAAAUUUCAAGUCCAGGUCAAUAGCUUCCAGAUUAAGAUUGAGAGUGAUCCUAAGAACAAACAGGGUUUGUACAGAAGGCAUUACGGCCAGAGCCAAUACAAUUCGCGUGAGGUUUGCCUAUUUUUUUUAAUAAACUGGACCACUUUUUGAGUUAAAGAGAGUACAUUGUACAAGGUAUAAAAGAUUGGAAGAGUCCAAAAGAUUUUCUGCAAUAAAUAGUUUUUUUCCUUUUUGCCAUGAUACUUAAUACUGACAGGGAAAAUUCUCUCUUCAAAUAAGUUAUGGUUUGUUACUCGAACUUGUAUAUGAGUUAGAUUUUCUUCAAAUAAUCAUUUUCUUUCCUUUCCUUUUUCAAUUUGGGAGGGCCAGUAUUAGAUGUCCAAAACUGCUAGAGACGGGAUCCCAAACCAAAUAAUUUUAUUUCUAUGUUAAAAUACUUGCACAUUUGUAGCCAAGAUUGAUGUAUCAUGUAUUACUGUUGAUUUUGAUUUUGGCCAGUUAUAGAGAGUGGAAUAUCGCUACUACGUACUGUCAGUUUGGUUAAUAAGCUAGGAAGCCAGGUAAUGGGCAUAUUUGUUAAACCGCAUAUUACCUUUCCUAAUAAUCUUCUCAUUUGCAUGCUUUAUUCUAAAUUACCUUUCAGAUUCAUGUUCGUAUUUAACUAUGCAGGCUCAUAAAGAUUCCAGUUAUAGAGUACUCUUUAUUUCAUUUUAAGGAUUGUUAUGUCUGUUAGGGUUUUUUUAUGACAAACGUUUGCAAAGUUUUCAAGUGAGGUUGUCUACUGGAAGAGUGGACUAGUAUUGAGACUGUAGUAAGCUUCUUUUUCUUUUAAUUUUCCUUUUCUAGUUUUUGCUAUGUUUUCUGUGUGUUUCUGCUCUGUAUGCUUCUGCUGCUGCUCUGUAAGUUAUUGUUUCUGCUUUGCUUCUUCUGUUUUCUUGCCAGAUGGAUUGUGGGGUUCUCUUUCACCGCAACUUCACUGUUGCGAAACUUAUAAAGAACGGUUCUCGUACUUCAAGCUGUUCUACACUGACUUCCGAUGUUUCAAAAACAGUCAAUAAAAUACAUCGCUGCAUCAUAUACGUUGCUAAAGCAACAUUCUUAUGCUGUGAAGAGGCCUGCCCCCCAGAUAUUGCUCACUGUGAUAGCGUUCUAAACUCGACUUGCCAUGUUGUUGUGCGCAUAAUUUGGCUAUGGCUAGGACAAAUCAGUUUUGUGCAAAAACCGCACUUGACUUUAAUAACGCGAAACAUGGCACUACGUAUGAGCUGGUGGCAUCUUUGGUUAGCAAUAUUGUUCCCAUAAGGUAUGGUAUCUAUAAGGUUAGCUGCAACUUCACAGCCAAGCUUCAGAACCUUUGCAGCUGUAAUGAUACUUCACAUUUUUUGACUGAGGUUUGAUCAUUGCCCUGGGACAAAGCAUCUUUUUGGUGAAUCGGUGUACUCUGAACGCAACAUGGAUUAAACUGGGGACUAUCACAUUUUGGAUAGUAAGAUCAUUGCUGGUGUGGUUACUUCAUUCGGUAAUAUACCUCUUAUUUUUGGUUUGGAUUAUCGAUCUGCUUGUUUCAGCUGCUGAAGGUCUGGAUUAUCACACUUAAAAAUGCUAACAGGGUGUUGUUCUUCUGAAUUCCGUUCGAUCCUUGUGGUUACAUACUUAGAUGAAUGUGAAAGUUGUCGGGCUCUGCUAGAGGCCUGUUUCCUUUCUGUAUAUAAUUUGUUAAAAUGCUCAUGUUAGUUCUCUAUGUUAACUAAUACUGUUCUACAAUAUUUAAAUUUUGAAUUCUUUACUUGUAAAUUUUUUGGAUUACUAUUGAAUAAAGUUUACUUUAUAUUCAAGAUCAAUAUUCUAGUUUUUAUUA
Spinacia oleracea (spinach) is the source of this 3368-nucleotide long non-coding RNA. RefSeq lists it as uncharacterized. The transcript has 3 exons. The record is from RefSeq and is a predicted model, not a curated record. NCBI's taxonomy places the organism in Eukaryota, Viridiplantae, Streptophyta, Magnoliopsida, Caryophyllales, Amaranthaceae.